This is a long non-coding RNA of Amphiprion ocellaris (clown anemonefish), 457 nucleotides long. The record is from Ensembl. NCBI's taxonomy places the organism in Eukaryota, Metazoa, Chordata, Actinopteri, Pomacentridae.
UUUAUUGCACCAGGAGGUUGAAUCUUCUGAUGUAAUUGGAGGAUCCUGAUUGGCCACAUUUACAUGUCCAGAUGAGUACAGCGCUCCUGGAAGACCUGUCAUUUUCUUCUUCUGAAUUCUGCCAAAACCGAAGUUGUGGUUUUUGGCUAUGAACACCUCAGAAGGCCGCGAUCGAACCAGAUAGCUACUCCAGCUCCAACUACUGUGAAGAACUUUGGAGAUAUUUUCAUCAGGUGCCACGCUGACAUCAUCAGUCACCCUGACAAUGACUCUGACUCUGUGAUAAAGCACCAAGUCUCAAAGAACAAACAUACAGCAUCUGAUAUAUACUUACAGUGAAAGACUUGCUUUCAAUGGCAGAUGAUAUUCUUUGAGUUCCCAUGACUGAAAUGCAUUUAACUUGUGAAACGAAGUGUGAGAAAAGCAGCUGUUACUUUAUUUCCUUCCUGUGACAAUG